CCUACGGGUGGCAGCAGUGAGGAAUAUUGGUCAAUGGACGAGAGUCUGAACCAGCCAAGUAGCGUGAAGGAUGACUGCCCUAUGGGUUGUAAACUUCUUUUAUAUGGGAAUAAAAUGUUCCACGUGUGUGAUUUUGUAUGUACCAUAUGAAUAAGGAUCGGCUAACUCCGUGCCAGCAGCCGCGGUAAUACGGAGGAUCCGAGCGUUAUCCGGAUUUAUUGGGUUUAAAGGGAGCGUAGGUGGAUUGUUAAGUCAGUUGUGAAAGUUUGCGGCUUAACCGUAAAAUUGCAGUUGAAACUGGCAGUCUUGAGUACAGUAGAGGUGGGCGGAAUUCGUGGUGUAGCGGUGAAAUGCUUAGAUAUCACGAAGAACUCCGAUGGCGAAGGCAGCUUACUGGACUGCAACUGACGCUGAGGCUCGAAAGUGUGGGUAUCAAACAGGAUUAGAUACCCCUGUAGUC
This 460-nucleotide ribosomal RNA is filed under the name uncultured bacterium. RNAcentral's name for it is "partial 16S ribosomal RNA". It matches the Rfam family "Bacterial small subunit ribosomal RNA", at positions 338 to 795 of the family's 1533-position model. The record is from RNAcentral.